This 468-nucleotide ribosomal RNA is filed under the name uncultured bacterium. RNAcentral describes it as "partial 16S ribosomal RNA". It matches the Rfam family "Bacterial small subunit ribosomal RNA", at positions 28 to 507 of the family's 1533-position model. The record is from RNAcentral.
GACGAACGCUGGCGGCGUGCUUAACACAUGCAAGUCGAACGGAAAGGCCCUGCUUUUGUGGGGUGCUCGAGUGGCGAACGGGUGAGUAACACGUGAGUAACCUGCCCUUGACUUUGGGAUAACUUCAGGAAACUGGGGCUAAUACCGGAUAGGAGCUCCUGCUGCAUGGUGGGGGUUGGAAAGUUUCGGCGGUUGGGGAUGGACUCGCGGCUUAUCAGCUUGUUGGUGGGGUAGUGGCUUACCAAGGCUUUGACGGGUAGCCGGCCUGAGAGGGUGACCGGCCACAUUGGGACUGAGAUACGGCCCAGACUCCUACGGGAGGCAGCAGUGGGGAAUACUGUACAAUGGGCGGAAGCCUGAUGCAGCAACGCCGAGUGCGGGAUGACGGCCUUCGGGUUGUAAACCGCUUUCGCCUGUGACGAAGCGUGAGUGACGGUAAUGGGUAAAGAAGCACCGGCUAACUACGUG